RNAcentral lists this ribosomal RNA (253 nucleotides) under uncultured bacterium. Its description in RNAcentral is "partial 16S ribosomal RNA". It matches the Rfam family "Bacterial small subunit ribosomal RNA", at positions 524 to 776 of the family's 1533-position model. The record is from RNAcentral.
UACGUAGGGUGCAAGCGUUACUCGGAAUUACUGGGCGUAAAGCGUGCGCAGGCGGUUUUGCAAGACAGAUGUGAAAUCCCCGGGCUCAACCUGGGAACUGCAUUUGUGACUGCAAGGCUAGAGUACGGCAGAGGGGGAUGGAAUUCCGCGUGUAGCAGUGAAAUGCGUAGAUAUGCGGAGGAACACCAAUGGCGAAGGCAAUCCCCUGGGCCUGUACUGACGCUCAUGCACGAAAGCGUGGGGAGCAAACAGG